Molecule: ribosomal RNA, 1455 nt
Filed under: uncultured organism
Description: SSU rRNA
Rfam family: Bacterial small subunit ribosomal RNA
Source: RNAcentral
CGGCAGGCCUAACACAUGCAAGUCGAGCGGUAGCACAGAGAGCUUGCUCUCGGGUGACGAGCGGCGGACGGGUGAGUAAUGUCUGGGAAACUGCCUGAUGGAGGGGGAUAACUACUGGAAACGGUAGCUAAUACCGCAUAACGUCGCAAGACCAAAGUGGGGGACCUUCGGGCCUCAUGCCAUCAGAUGUGCCCAGAUGGGAUUAGCUAGUAGGUGGGGUAACGGCUCACCUAGGCGACGAUCCCUAGCUGGUCUGAGAGGAUGACCAGCCACACUGGAACUGAGACACGGUCCAGACUCCUACGGGAGGCAGCAGUGGGGAAUAUUGCACAAUGGGCGCAAGCCUGAUGCAGCCAUGCCGCGUGUGUGAAGAAGGCCUUCGGGUUGUAAAGCACUUUCAGCGGGGAGGAAGGCGUUAAGGUUAAUAACCUUGGCGAUUGACGUUACCCGCAGAAGAAGCACCGGCUAACUCCGUGCCAACAGCCGCGGUAAUACGGAGGGUGCAAGCGUUAAUCGGAAUUACUGGGCGUAAAGCGCACGCAGGCGGUCUGUCAAGUCGGAUGUGAAAUCCCCGGGCUCAACCUGGGAACUGCAUUCGAAACUGGCAGGCUAGAGUCUUGUAGAGGGGGGUAGAAUUCCAGGUGUAGCGGUGAAAUGCGUAGAGAUCUGGAGGAAUACCGGUGGCGAAGGCGGCCCCCCUGGACAAAGACUGACGCUCAGGUGCGAAAGCGUGGGGAGCAAACAGGAUUAGAUACCCUGGUAGUCCACGCCGCAAACGAUGUCGAUUUGGAGGUUGUGCCCUUGAGGCGUGGCUUCCGGAGCUAACGCGUUAAAUCGACCGCCUGGGGAGUACGGCCGCAAGGUUAAAACUCAAAUGAAUUGACGGGGGCCCGCACAAGCGGUGGAGCAUGUGGUUUAAUUCGAUGCAACGCGAAGAACCUUACCUGGUCUUGACAUCCACAGAACUUUCCAGAGAUGGAUUGGUGCCUUCGGGAACUGUGAGACAGGUGCUGCAUGGCUGUCGUCAGCUCGUGUUGUGAAAUGUUGGGUUAAGUCCCGCAACGAGCGCAACCCUUAUCCUUUGUUGCCAGCGGUUCGGCCGGGAACUCAAAGGAGACUGCCAGUGAUAAACUGGAGGAAGGUGGGGAUGACGUCAAGUCAUCAUGGCCCUUACGACCAGGGCUACACACGUGCUACAAUGGCAUAUACAAAGAGAAGCGACCUCGCGAGAGCAAGCGGACCUCAUAAAGUAUGUCGUAGUCCGGAUUGGAGUCUGCAACUCGACUCCAUGAAGUCGGAAUCGCUAGUAAUCGUAGAUCAGAAUGCUACGGUGAAUACGUUCCCGGGCCUUGUACACACCGCCCGUCACACCAUGGGAGUGGGUUGCAAAAGAAGUAGGUAGCUUAACCUUCGGGAGGGCGCUUACCACUUUGUGAUUCAUGACUGGGGUGAAGA